This 200-nucleotide ribosomal RNA is filed under the name uncultured bacterium. RNAcentral's name for it is "partial 16S ribosomal RNA". It matches the Rfam family "Bacterial small subunit ribosomal RNA", at positions 524 to 722 of the family's 1533-position model. The record is from RNAcentral.
UACGAAGGGUGCAAGCGUUACUCGGAAUUACUGGGCGUAAAGCGUGCGUAGGUGGUUUGUUAAGUCUGUUGUGAAAGCCCCGGGCUCAACCUGGGAAUGGCAAUGGAUACUGGCAGGCUAGAGUGCGGUAGAGGGUAGUGGAAUUCCCGGGUGUAGCGGUGAAUGCGUAGAGAAUCGGAGGAACAUCUGUGGCGGAAGGC